UCCGGGACCCCGCCAAGUGUAUUCUGCAGAGGAAGGACAGAGAAUUACCUUCACCACGUGUAAUGUCAGCUGCAGAGAAACAACAUUGGAGAGAAGCAACAUUAGAAGAAUUCAUGAUCAAGUUGUGACAGACUAGGUCGGAAAUAGCAGCAGAGACAGCCACCUUAAAUAUAGAAAUCUCUGAGGUCAGAUUCUACAACUAAUUCAUCCUUCAAAUGCCAUGUCUGGAGAUGCCCCGGAAAAGGCUUAGAGCUUGGCCUUCUUAUAGACACAGCCUGGAACUUGGAGUGCCAAGCCUUCAUAUAAAGCACUUGGGAUGUCCUCUUGCAAAAGAACACCUGGAGAAGAUAACCAGCCAAGCUCCAGCCUUCCCACCAUAUUGCUGAGGUAGCAGAUGUUGUGUUAGUCAUUUCAGCCCUGUUUGCCUCUACCAGAGAAGAAGGGCCACUCAGCUGAGCCCAAUCAACCCAUAAAACUCUACAAGAUAAGAAAAUACUGUCUCAAGAAAUGCCAUUUUGUGAUGGCUUGUUAUACUGUGCUCUCACAAAAAUAGCAGCUAUGUUGUUGUCCUUGUCUUAAUUU
Mus caroli (Ryukyu mouse) is the source of this 582-nucleotide long non-coding RNA. RefSeq lists it as uncharacterized. NCBI's taxonomy places the organism in Eukaryota, Metazoa, Chordata, Mammalia, Rodentia, Muridae. The record is from RefSeq and is a predicted model, not a curated record.